AUUCGCGGCCUAUCAGCUUGUUGGUGAGGUGAUGGCUCACCAAGGCUUUGACGGGUAGCCGGCCUGAGAGGGCGACCGGCCACACUGGGACUGAGAUACGGCCCAGACUCCUACGGGAGGCAGCAGUGGGGAAUAUUGCACAAUGGGCGAAAGCCUGAUGCAGCGACGCCGCGUGGGGGAUGACGGCCUUCGGGUUGUAAACCCCUUUCAGUAGGGACGAAGCGAGAGUGACGGUACCUGCAGAAGAAGGGCCGGCUAACUACGUGCCAGCAGCCGCGGUGAUACGUAGGGCGCAAGCGUUGUCCGGAAUUAUUGGGCGUAAAGAGCUUGUAGGUGGCUUGUCGCGUCUGCCGUGAAAACCCGAGGCUCAACCUCGGGCGUGCGGUGGGUACGGGCAGGCUAGAGUGUGGUAGGGGAGACUGGAACUCCUGGUGUAGCGGUGGAAUGCGCAGAUAUCAGGAGGAACACCGAUGGCGAAGGCGGAUCUCUGGGCCUCAACUGACGCUGAGGAGCGAAAGCGUGGGGAGCGAACAGGAUUAGAUACCCUGGUAGUCCACGCCGUAAACGUUGGGCGCUAGAUGUGGGGAACUUUCCACGGUUUCUGUGUCGUAGCUAACGCAUUAAGCGCCCCGCCUGGGGAGUACGGAAU
This 649-nucleotide ribosomal RNA is filed under the name uncultured Actinomycetes bacterium. Its description in RNAcentral is "bacterial SSU rRNA". It matches the Rfam family "Bacterial small subunit ribosomal RNA", at positions 229 to 888 of the family's 1533-position model. The record is from RNAcentral. Lineage: Bacteria; Bacillati; Actinomycetota; Actinomycetes.